This 54-nucleotide transfer RNA is filed under the name Tragelaphus scriptus (bushbuck). Its description in RNAcentral is "partial tRNA-Leu". Lineage: Eukaryota; Metazoa; Chordata; Mammalia; Artiodactyla; Bovidae. The record is from RNAcentral.
ACUUUUAAAGGAUGGUAGUUAUCCGUUGGUCUUAGGAACCAAAAAAUUGGUGCA